UUAGUCUUUUAAUUUGGGACUGGAAUGAAAGAGUAAACCGGGAGAAUUUCUUUUUAUCUAAAAAAAUGAAUUUUACUUUUUAGUAAGAAGGCUAAAAUAUUUCUUUUAGACAAGAAGACCCUAUAAAACUUUAUAUUUUCUUUAUUUUAAAAAUAAAGCAAAGUAUUUCACUGGGGCGGUGAGGAAAAAAUCUUUCUUUUAGAAAAUAAACCCUCUCGUUUUAAUACCUAGAAUUUCUAAAGUAGAAAUAAGUUACUUUAGGGAUAACAGCUUAAUUCACUUAGAAAGAUCAAAUUGACAAGUGAGUUUAUGACCUCGAUGUUGAAUUAAAAUUCCUUUUUCGCGCAAAAGUUAAGAAGGA
Molecule: ribosomal RNA, 361 nt
Filed under: Buthus draa
Lineage: Eukaryota; Metazoa; Arthropoda; Arachnida; Scorpiones; Buthidae
Description: partial large subunit ribosomal RNA
Source: RNAcentral